This 783-nucleotide ribosomal RNA is filed under the name uncultured Neocallimastigales. RNAcentral's name for it is "partial large subunit ribosomal RNA". It matches the Rfam family "Eukaryotic large subunit ribosomal RNA", at positions 22 to 629 of the family's 3401-position model. Lineage: Eukaryota; Fungi; Neocallimastigomycota; Neocallimastigomycetes; Neocallimastigales. The record is from RNAcentral.
CAUAGCGACUAUCGUGGCAUAUCAAUAAGCGGAGGAAAAGAAACUAACAAGGAUUCCCCUUAGUAACGGCGAGUGAAGCGGGAAGAGCUCAAAUUCGAAAUCUUCAAGGGUUCUACCUUGACGAAUUGUAGUUUAUAGAAGUGUUUGCUGUUAGUAGAGGUGGCUAAAAGUUCUUUGGAAUAGGACAUCAUAGAGGGUGAGAAUCCCGUAUUUGGUCAUCCUUUACUAGCUUUGUGAUACACUUUCAACGAGUCGGAUUGUUUGGGAAUGCAGUCCAAAAUGGGUGGUAAAUUUCAUCUAAAGCUAAAUAUUGGCGAGAGACCGAUAGCGAACAAGUACCGUGAGGGAAAGAUGAAAAGAACUUUGAAAAGAGAGUUAAACAGUACGUGAAAUUGUCAAAAGGGAAGCGUUUGACACCAGUGUUGUUUUCUCGAAAAUCAAUUAAAAAUGAUGGGAUUUUGUGUUGUAUUGACUUUAUCAGCUUUCUGCACUUUUUUCUUAUCUUUUUUAAUGCACUUUUCGUUUAACAAGUCAACAUCAGUUUCUUUUGUUGUAAAAGAGUCAUUGGAAGGUGGCUUUUCUUUCGGAGAAAAGUGUUUAUAGCCUUUGAUCUCCUGCAAUCGGAGAGACUGAGGUCUGCAGCGUAGAUCCUUUUGGGAUUAAAUUACAUUUGUGCUAAGUUAUAGCUUUUCAUAGACAACUUGUUGACUAUGUUUAAGUCAUGUAGCUUACUCGCUUAUGUAUUUUACCUACGCUUAGGAUGUUGAUAUGCAUGACUGAUAU